Long non-coding RNA from Frieseomelitta varia, 434 nucleotides. RefSeq lists it as uncharacterized. The record is from RefSeq and is a predicted model, not a curated record. NCBI's taxonomy places the organism in Eukaryota, Metazoa, Arthropoda, Insecta, Hymenoptera, Apidae. The transcript has 3 exons.
GUGUAUUUGAUUUAGAUUAAAGUUUUUUAUUUUUUAUUUCAAGUUAUCAUUUCGUGCGAAAUGUGCGAUUACAGCGCCAACGGUGGAAUACGCAAUACACUUCCUACGAUUCUCGAACUCGAAAUCGAUAUUUCUCAUGAUCGAUUUUAAACCGAGAAGUGGCGGUUAAAAAUGGCGGAGAGAAGCACACCUCGUCUGUGACAACAAGAAAAUAUUAUCUAGAAAGAUCAUCCAGAAAAAAGUAUCGAGAAGUUCUCAGGACGAGAAGUGUCGCGGAGAGUCAUUUGGCUGUCGAAUUUCAUAACAACGACACGUAUUACGUCACAUUAGGGUAUCCCUUGAUUCCUGAUGUUGGGAUAGAAUACAUAGAUGCUACAAUUAUUAAUGGACAAUCUGCUAUUCUUUCAUGGAAAUUUAAUAACAUUUUAUUUGUU